GAUGAACGCUGGCGGCGUGCCUAAUACAUGCAAGUCGAGCGAACAGACCAGGAGCUUGCUCCUCUGACGUUAGCGGCGGACGGGUGAGUAACACGUGGAUAACCUACCUAUAAGACUUGGAUAACUUCGGGAAACCGGAGCUAAUACCGGAUAAUAUAUUGAACCGCAUGGUUCAAUAGUGAAAGACGGUUUUGCUGUCACUUAUAGAUGGAUCCGCGCCGCAUUAGCUAGUUGGUAAGGUAACGGCUUACCAAGGCAACGACGCGUAGCCGACCUGAGCGGGAGAACGGACAGCCGGGCACAGAGACACGGUCGAGACUCCUACAGGAGGAAGCAGUAGGGAAUCUUCCGCGAUGGGGGAAAGCCUGACGGAGCAACGCCGGGUGAGUCAUGAAGGACUUAGGAUCGUAAAACUCUGUUAUUAGGGAAGAACAAAUGUGUAAGUAACUAUGAACGUAUUGACGGUACCUAAUCAGAAAGCCACGGCUAACUACGUG
RNAcentral lists this ribosomal RNA (497 nucleotides) under uncultured bacterium. Its description in RNAcentral is "partial 16S ribosomal RNA". It matches the Rfam family "Bacterial small subunit ribosomal RNA", at positions 28 to 507 of the family's 1533-position model. The record is from RNAcentral.